GAUGAAGAACGUAGCGAAAUGCGAUAAGUAGUGUGAAUUGCAGAAUUCAGUGAAUCAUCGAAUCUUUGAACGCACAAUGCGCCCCAUGGUAUUCCAUGGGGCAUGCCUGUUCGAGCGUCAUUUGUACCUUCAAGCUCUGCUUGGUGUUGGGUGUUUGUCUCGCCUCUGCGUGUAGACUCGCCUCAAAACAAUUGGCAGCCGGCGUAUUGAUUUCGGAGCGCAGUACAUCUCGCGCUUUGCACUCAUAACGACGACGUCCAAAAGUACAUUUUUACACUCUUGACCUCGGAUCAGGUAGUGAUACCCGCUGAACUUAAGCAUAUCAAUAAGCGGAGGA
This 337-nucleotide unclassified non-coding RNA is filed under the name soil metagenome. RNAcentral's name for it is "partial contains 5.8S ribosomal RNA, internal transcribed spacer 2, and large subunit ribosomal RNA". The stretch from base 1 to 120 matches the Rfam family "5.8S ribosomal RNA", at positions 35 to 154 of the family's 154-position model. The record is from RNAcentral.